GUUAGGAUUAGAGCCCUGCACUUGGUGUGUGAUUCCUCCUGGGACCUGAGGGAUGAAUUGUGGUCCUCAGUAAAACAGACACUCUCCUUCUCCUCUCAUGAAUACACUGUGAACACUGCACUCUGUCCUGCUGCAGAGACAAACAUUCAAACACCUGGGCUAAGGGCGGCUUUACCAUUGGACUCAGGAAGAUCUACUUGCUCUGAUUGAUGCACAUCACCGCAUAACCAAACAUUGUUGUGACCCCACUGGAGCAUUGGAGUACAUAGCAGGUCACCUGGUUUAUGGGAGCCACAUGUCAGACCAUGCUGAUCUAGCAGCUGUGCAGAGUGUGAUCAGGGCUUCUCUAAGAGAUCCAUCUACAUUAUGGGGGCGUGGCCAACACAUUCUCUUGGAUAUGAUUAACUUUACAGGAAGAUUUGAAGCUGGGGGCCAGUUGAAAGACUUGAGACGUCGUAUUCAGUGCAUUACUAGCUGUACAGACCCACCC
This is a long non-coding RNA of Sinocyclocheilus grahami, 490 nucleotides long. RefSeq lists it as uncharacterized. NCBI's taxonomy places the organism in Eukaryota, Metazoa, Chordata, Actinopteri, Cypriniformes, Cyprinidae. The record is from RefSeq and is a predicted model, not a curated record. The transcript is spliced from 4 exons.